GUGGGGAAUCUUGCGCAAUGGGCGAAAGCCUGACGCAGCCAUGCCGCGUGAAUGAUGAAGGUCUUAGGAUUGUAAAAUUCUUUCACCGGGGACGAUAAUGACGGUACCCGGAGAAGAAGCUCCGACUAACUUCGUGCCAGCAGCCGCGGUAAUACGAAGGGGGCUAGCGUUGCUCGGAAUUACUGGGCGUAAAGGGCGCGUAGGCGGACAGCUUAGUCAGAGGUGAAAGCCCAGGGCUCAACCUUGGAAUUGCCUUUGAUACUGGCUGUCUUGAGUUUGGGAGAGGUGAGUGGAACUCCGAGUGUAGAGGUGAAAUUCGCAGAUAUUCGGAGGAACACCAGUGGCGAAGGCGAUUAACUGGACGGGCACUGACGCUGAGGCACGAAAGCGUGGGGAUCAAACAGGAUUAGAAACCCCAGUAGUCC
Molecule: ribosomal RNA, 425 nt
Filed under: uncultured bacterium
Lineage: Bacteria
Description: partial 16S ribosomal RNA
Rfam family: Bacterial small subunit ribosomal RNA
Source: RNAcentral